GACGCUGGCGGCGUGGAUAAGACAUGCAAGUCGAACGGGACAGUCUUGUAGCAAUAUGAGACUGUUCAGUGGCGAACGGGUGCGUAACACGUGGGUCACAUUCCGGGAAGUGAGAAAUAGCCCAGGGAAACUUGGAUUAAUAUCUCAUGUGGUCGCAAGACUAAAGGCGCAAGCCGCUUCCUGAUUGGCCCGCGGCCUAUCAGCUAGUUGGUGAGGUAAUGGCUCACCAAGGCAACGACGGGUAGCUGGUCUGAGAGGACGACCAGCCACACUGGAACUGAGACACGGUCCAGACACCUACGGGUGGCAGCAGUCGAGAAUCUUUCACAAUGGGGGAAACCCUGAUGGAGCGACGCCGCGUGGAGGUUAAGGUCUUCGGAUUGUAAACUCCUGUCAUGCGAGAACAAAGCCCGCAAGGGCGUGAUAGUACCGCAAGAGGAAGAGACGGCUAACUCUGUGCCAGCAGCCGCGGUAAUACAGAGGUCUCAAGCGUUGUUCGGAAUUACUGGGCGUAAAGGGUGCGCAGGCCGCGCGGGCAGUCAAUUGUGUAAUCCAGGGGCUCAACCCCUGAACUGCGCUUGAUACUUUCCGCGCUCGAACCUUGGAGAGGAGUCUGGAAUUUCUCGGUGUAGCAGUGAAAUGCGUGGAUAUCGAGAAGAACACUUAGGGCGAAAGCAAGACUCUGGACAAGUGUUGACGCU
Molecule: ribosomal RNA, 701 nt
Filed under: uncultured bacterium
Lineage: Bacteria
Description: bacterial SSU rRNA
Rfam family: Bacterial small subunit ribosomal RNA
Source: RNAcentral